RNAcentral lists this ribosomal RNA (399 nucleotides) under Triticum aestivum (bread wheat). RNAcentral's name for it is "partial small subunit ribosomal RNA". Lineage: Eukaryota; Viridiplantae; Streptophyta; Magnoliopsida; Poales; Poaceae. The record is from RNAcentral.
AUCUCCGGGUGCACCACCAUCCUCGCCAUGAUCCACUCCAUCAGGAUCGCCACCGUGUCCGUCCCUCUAAAGAUCAUCUCCCAAAGGACGGCGAUCAUGUCGGACUCUGACAUCUUGUCUUCUCCGUCGAGGCCGAGGAGCACAUCGACGAAGUCGCCGGAGAGCUCAUCCGCAAUGCCUGACCCGCUGGCGCGCCUCGCCUUGUGCUCCUGAAUGAUGUUACCGACAUACGCCUCCACCUGCCGGACUAACCUGUUGCACCGGUGGCGCACGCCCUGGAGAUCGAGCCACUUGAGGAAUGGCAGGUGAUCUGCCCAGUUGAACGUGCCGAGGAGGUCGUACCCUUCGUUUACCAUCUCCUCCACGAGGGCGCCUUCUUGGCUUGUGAAGUCGUCGUAG